CAGCCGCCACGGGAAUACAGAGGGUGCAAGCGUUAAUCGGAAUUACUGGGCGUAAAGCGCGCGUAGGUGGUUUGUUAAGUUGGAUGUGAAAUCCCCGGGCUCAACCUGGGAACUGCAUCCAAAACUGGCAAGCUAGAGUAUGGUAGAGGGUGGUGGAAUUUCCUGUGUAGCGGUGAAAUGCGUAGAUAUAGGAAGGAACACCAGUGGCGAAGGCGACCACCUGGACUGAUACUGACACUGAGGUGCGAAAGCGUGGGGAGCAAACAGGAUUAGAUACCCGUGUAGUCCCUGUCUCUUAUAU
Molecule: ribosomal RNA, 301 nt
Filed under: uncultured bacterium
Lineage: Bacteria
Description: partial 16S ribosomal RNA
Rfam family: Bacterial small subunit ribosomal RNA
Source: RNAcentral